CGAAUUAUUACCAUCAUUCCAUAGGAAUGGUGGGUUUUGGGCUGUUUGUCGAAAAGUAAGAAACCCGCCCAGGAGGCGGGUUUC
This 84-nucleotide small RNA is filed under the name Photobacterium ganghwense. RNAcentral describes it as "Pseudomonas sRNA P9". It matches the Rfam family "Pseudomonas sRNA P9". Rfam says of the family: P9 appears to be conserved in several Pseudomonas species in addition to Bordetella spp. Lineage: Bacteria; Pseudomonadati; Pseudomonadota; Gammaproteobacteria; Vibrionales; Vibrionaceae. The record is from Rfam by way of RNAcentral.